GGGGUAAAAAAUGACCCUCCACUGUUUAGACGGAAAUACCCACACGUGUUGUUGAAGCAACAGGAAUCCGAAUCAAACAAAAUUUCGAUGAUGUCUGUCUGUCGGGUCGGGUCUGUCUGUCUGUUGGUCCGUCUGUACUCGCAUAUUCUUAGGCAUAAAAUGGCAGAAUCGCGCAUGCGCAGGUGGGCGGGUGGUAUUUGUGCUAGCCACAGUUAAUUUUUUUGAAAACAUUCAAAUUUUUGGUAAACAGUUUGAAAUUUUCCUUUAUUUUGUAAUUAACGUAGGUAUGAAACGUAGGUAGAAACAAAUUGCUAACUCUGUACCCAGUGUACAAUAUAUAGGUUGCUAUGUUUUGUCUAUCAAAAGGAAUUAAUUUCUACCAACCAUAGCUCUUCUCCUUGACCUCUUGAUGUGAUCGGGUAUAUUCCCUUAUACUUCAAGAACGGAUUGUCGGAAGACAGUACUCACAAAGGGCGAUUGAGACGUCUGAAAGAAAUAUAUCCAUUGGUGAUGUCAAAACAAAAGCUGUUUCGGUUAAAAAAAUGCGGUUUAUCUGCACAAGAGUUUCCCGUACGAUAUUAGGAAUAAUAAUUCGCCUUUGAAUAACUCCCCUUCAUUUUGUUACAGCAAAAAUGUGACACUUUUAUUCUUCAACAAGACAGAAAAGGAUAUAUUACUGAAAGAUCAGUUAGAAACCCUUCACAAUGAAGAUAGUAGGUUUCGAGUGGAACACAUUCUUUCACAAGCAGACUCAAACUGGACAGGACACAAAGGGAAAAUCAGUAAUAACCUUCUUCGCGAUAGUAUUGACAAACAUUUAUUAAAUACUGUGUAUAAAGAAAGUGAUAUUUUUGCAUGUAUUUGUGGACCAACACAAUUUUCGCACUUAGCGCAAUCACUGCUCACUAGUACAGGUUUUAAUCGUGAACAAAUGCACGUGUUUUUAGGAUAGCAGGAAACGGUUGUUGCACAUAUUGUGAUUAAUUUAGCAAUGUUAGAGAAAUUCUUGCGCCAAUUCUUGCUACGGGUGUUAUGAUUAGGGAUUUUUGGAUCAACUAGGGACUUACCAGCGGUGGAAUUGGUUUGUGAAUCAAUCGAACCGCCGCGCCGGACUCGACCCGUGGAUUAUACUCAUUAAAAAUGCAUCUACAGAUAGAGCUUUCGCAGCAUCCACAUUCAACAUUUCGAAAUAACCUUUGUCCUCCCUUUUUCUCGACAUUUUGCUAAAACAUCAGCUCAAAUAUGGUACAAGUUGGCUGUUCCGGCAUUUGUAGGUCGAAUUUUUAUCAUACAUUUUCGCAUUACCUACUUGCGAUGUAAAUUAGGCAGAAAAAUGUGAUUUUACACAAUUGCAAUAAAAUGGACAAGAAUCGCUUUUAAUCUUUACAGUGCGUUUGAUGGUUCUUCUAUUGCCAUGUACAUAACUAGCAGCUGUCGUGUAGAUGUACUAAAAUUUAUGUAAGUAAAUGAUUUUCACUGCUAUUACGUAAAGCACGGUGCAUCAGUGUAAUCUCGUAGGAGUCUUUAGGAGGUUCUAAAAUUGUGAUUGUCAAUGGAAGCAAUUUUUUAAGUAUGCAUACUUUAAUGUGGCACAAGAACCAACUAUUGCUUUUAUUGUUAUAAAUAUUAAUAUGUAACAUUUUGAAAAUCUAUCGUAUUCUUAAUAUGAGGAAAUGUCUAUUUUGUAAUAGAACUAUCUUGGUCAAUAAAGCGAAAUGUGGUUUUAUAAGUUUUC
Molecule: long non-coding RNA, 1735 nt
Organism: Photinus pyralis (common eastern firefly)
Lineage: Eukaryota; Metazoa; Arthropoda; Insecta; Coleoptera; Lampyridae
Exons: 2
Source: RefSeq, a predicted model, not a curated record